GACGAACGCUGGCGGCGUGCUUAACACAUGCAAGUCGAACGGAAAGGCCUGCUUUCCCUUGUGGAUUGCGGGUACUCGAGUGGCGAACGGGUGAGUAACACGUGAGUGAUCUGCCCCCAACUUGGGUAUAAGCCUGGGAAACUGGGUCUAAUUCCCGAUAGGACUGCAGGGUGGUGUCUGUGGUGGAAAACGAUUUUCUAGUGGUUGGGGAUGAGCUCGCGGCCUGUCAGCUUGUUGGUGGGGUAAUGGCCUACCAAGGCGGCGACGGGUAGCCGGCCUGGGAGGGUGGACGGCGACAUUGGGACUGAGAUACGGCCCAGACUCCUACGGGAGGCAGCAGUGGGGAAGAAUGCACAGUGGGCGGAAGCCUGAUGCAGCGAUGCCGCGUGGGGGAUGACGGCCUUCGGGUUGUAAACUCCUUUCGACCGCGAGGAAGCCACCUGGUUGGAAGGGUGGUGACGGUAGUGGUAGAAGAAGCACCGGCUAACUACGUG
This 494-nucleotide ribosomal RNA is filed under the name uncultured bacterium. RNAcentral's name for it is "partial 16S ribosomal RNA". It matches the Rfam family "Bacterial small subunit ribosomal RNA", at positions 28 to 507 of the family's 1533-position model. The record is from RNAcentral.